Suricata suricatta (meerkat) is the source of this 3827-nucleotide long non-coding RNA. RefSeq lists it as uncharacterized. The record is from RefSeq and is a predicted model, not a curated record. The transcript is spliced from 2 exons. NCBI's taxonomy places the organism in Eukaryota, Metazoa, Chordata, Mammalia, Carnivora, Herpestidae.
GCCUCUCUUCCUGCUUUCAUGACCCUCUCCGCCAUUUAAAGAAACAGUACCGGGGGCGGGCCGAGCGACGCAGCCGGGACGGUAGCUGCGGCGCGGACCGGAGGAGCCAUCUUGUCUCGUCGCCGGGGAGUCAGGCCCCUAACUCGAAGACGCCCUGGCGCGCCCUCCCCCCCUUCCCGGUCUGGUAGGGCGAAGGAGCGGGCGCGCGGUCGAUCGAGCGAUCGGUUGGCGGCUCUUUCUCCUGCUCUGGCAUCCAGCUCUUGGGGCGCAGGCCCGGCCGCCGCGGCGCGCGCCCGGUGGCCGUUGGCGCUCGCGCCGCGUCUUUCUUCUAGUACGCAGAACUCGGGCGGCGGCCUAUGCGUUUGCGAUUCGACGAGGAGUCGUCCGGGUGGUUGGCGGCGGCGGGCAGCUGCUCCGCCCCGCUCCCGGGGAGGCUGCGGCGGCGGGAUUUGGCGCGGCCGGGGAGGCGGGGGUGGCCGGGGCCGGCGUGGAGGCCUGGCGCCACCCUUCGGGGCCUGCAAGGACCCAGUUGGGGGGGCAAGAGGGGGCUGGGGGAUGGUUGGUGGUGGGCUUUCUACUUUGUCUUUUUCUCCUCAUGCCCCCUUAGUGAGGGGCAGGAGCUUUGGCGGCAGCUCCGGGUUGGCGAGACAAGCCCCGGAGUCGGAAGAGCUGGGUUUGCUUCCGGCCCUAGCCACCAGCUGGCCGAGUGACCUUAGGCAGAUCACUCUGUAAUUUGUCAGCGCCUCAGUUUCCUCCUCUGCCUAUCAAUGUUUGUGGGGUUGAAAGCGCUUUGUAAGUUAUAAAGCGUCGGUGUACGUAAGGGAUGAUUAUUGUUUGUAAUGGAUUUUUUUUUUGAGUUGUGAGAAAAGUUAGCAAUUGCCCAGUUUUUGGAUUUUGAACCUGGGAACCUUGGAUUGGAGUUGGAAGCCCCCAAGUUCCCCCGAAAUUGUGUGCAGAAAUAGUGGAAGUGUGCAUUUGGGGGAAUGAGGACCCAUCGCCAGCAAGUUUUCAAAAGGGGGCUGUGACUCAGAAGAGUUAACUACAAUUCCUUUAUGCCACAGGGAGGAAACUGAGGCCUAGAUGUCAUUUGGGACUCUUCACAACUGAUUUGAAGCCCCUCUUUGAUCCCUGGGAUAUGUGAGCUGUUUCUAUGCAUAACGGGGUAACAACACUCCACUGCUUGGCUUCUAUUCUGAGUCCUUUCAUUUUACCAUGGGGUGCCUGAAGGGUGGCUGAUGUGUAUGGUAUGGUUUAAUGGCCCCCAAUAUAAAGCAGCUAAAACUAGAAAUGGAUGUGUUCCCUAGUAUCAAGAAGCCUAUUUAGUCUUUGGCCCAGCAACUCUUGGUUUUCUGCUGCUUAUACUGGUGCCUGACUACCUUUCUGUUUCAUUGACCAUUUUCCACGACCACGGUUGCCAUCCAUUACUUGCUUCUAUUUUGUAUGCUUAGUCUCUGCGGUUGGUGGUAAGCAGGCUUAUUUUUAAAAGGUGCUGCGGAGUCCAGCUAAUUAAUGGGGCAGGUGGAUUUUUAGCAAGCUGGCUCACUGGAACAGACUAAACCAGGCAUGGAAUUCCUGAAGAUGUUUGGGGGUUUAUCUUUGUUAAUUGAAGGUUAACAUUCUCUGAAGUUUUGUCAUGACUUCUACUGAAUUUCAAAAUCAGUAGAUUUGGAAGUGCAUCAGUGCUUACCUUUUUCCUGGCCUGCUUUGUAUUCUGUUGCUUACAAGUGUGUUACUAAGGUGGCCUAGAUGCCAGUUACUGGUUUUUUGUUAAUUGUCAGCUGCUUUUAUCAAAUUACAGGCCAUUAUCCAGCAAACACUAUAGAAAUGUUUGAACAGUUGUAUUUCAAACAUUUUCUUUUUGUGGAGUGCUGCUUACCAGUGGUACAGCUCUAAGCAAGUGAACAUAAAUACAUGUAAGUGUAUUUUGUCUGGUUAGGUGUUCACCUGUUUUGUUAUUUCAUAAAAGUGUCUGAGAAAAACAAUUGACUAUUCCUUUUAUGUAAAGGGCAGAGACAAAUGAUCUUACUUCCAGACUAUUAUAGAGAAAAACGUGUUGGUCUUUUAGCUCCUUUGUUAUUAUCUGGAUGUACCUCAAAAGAAUCUUAAGACUGUGGUGAUCUUAUAAGAUGGUUUCCUCAGGAGAAAGGAGGAAGAAAAACAACUGGAACUCAAAGCUUGAAAUUCUGUGGCAAAAUACGAGCUGUCCAGGAUAGAAGGCCGAAAAGGUUUCACUACAGUGUUCUGCACUAGCUGCAGCAGAUGCUUUUCUGUGUAGCCACGGCAUAGACUCCAGAUUUCCAGAUUUUCGAGAACUACACCUGGGACCUGAAGAGCUCAUCAGGAUGUGACAGGGACUCUGGAGCUGAACAUUCUUGUUUUUGAAUUUGGGGGCUGUUGACCUUGCUUUGAAAAGAGAAACAGAGCAAGCACUGCCACGAGCGCUAUUACUGGGAAUUUGAAGACCUGAGUUUCUGCCAGAGCUUCAUUGCAAGCUCUAGUGUGCUCCAUCCAAAGUGAACUACGUCCUGUGCCUCCUGAUAGCUGAGUAUUCACCUGGACCUUCUGACCACCUUCCUUGUACUGUUCCAUCAGCCUACAGAUCUGGUACCUGGAUUUCUGCCCAUGGUGAUUCCGUCACCUUACUGCUGAAGAAGACACCAUUCCAGUGGACCACUGUGAUCCAAGAGGCAUUCAGUCAUGAUGAUGUGGCCUUCACCUCCACUCCUUUCCUGUUCUGCCCAGUUUCAGCACAGCCCUUUAUAGUGAAGUCAAACUAUUCAAGCCAAAUAGCUAAAGCUAUUUUAUCACAGCAAAGGCCCAGGUUGUUCCACGAGGGUACAUUUUGUUUCUUCAGUCAAAACCUUCAGAGACACAUAUAAAUUUGGACCAGGCAAUUUUUAGUUAUCAACGCUGAAGAAUGGCAACAUCUUUUGAGAACGGCGUUGGAUCACAAUUUCAAAUGAUUGCAAUUCAUGAAGUGUCUAGUGUCCUAUGCAGGUCAUUGGACCCUAUUCUUACUCCACUUCAAGUCUGUAGUGGCCUACUGAAUAGAAAGCAGAUACUCUGACCAACAGAUAUUGGGACUAAAACAAAGGCACAGUGAACUCACAGCAUCUUUGGGAUUACUCAGGAACCAGAACUUUUCACACAAAUGUAAGAAAUUCUACCAAGGAAUCCCUUUAUCUAACAGCAUCUCACAAAGCUCCAAUCAGAUUCCAGGAAAGGCCUCUUGAUACACCCAGGUAGAACCUAUAAUGUAAUCCCUUGUGUUUAUAUAGCACUUUAUGGUUUCAGAGCACUUUUACAUACAUAAAUCUCAAUUAUCAAAAUAACAUGGUAAAUUAUAAUUUCUUUUUGUAAAUGAGGAAAUUGAAGUUUAAAAGAUUGUCCAACAAGACACAGCUACAAAGUGGUAGAGGCCAGGCCUUCUGACUCCCAGUCCAGUUCUCUCCAUGGAAUUAACUUAGCCUCUACUUUACCUGCAGUGUUAAAAUGACUGGAGUUUGGUAACCCCAAAAAAAGUUCCCAACCUCUUGAUCUGAUGCUCUCAGUCAGUCAGGAUGUCAUAAGUAUAAUCUUAUGAUGGCUCCAUAUAGGCCAGAAUUCCAUGGUACUGCCCCAAAGGGGUAAGAGCAGACUGUCUCCAUAGUGGUAGGUUUAUUCAGUCAACAUGACACAUGGUCAUCUGACAGACUACACAACAUGAAAUACAAAGCUACUUCUAGGUCCGUUGUUCACAUAGUCUUCCCAAAUUCCCAAAUGGCCUAAUUGGAAAUCCCUUUUCAUGUUAUGUUCUUUUUAAAAUUAAAAAAAAAGUCUUAGUAAUA